RNAcentral lists this ribosomal RNA (1372 nucleotides) under uncultured bacterium. RNAcentral describes it as "bacterial SSU rRNA". It matches the Rfam family "Bacterial small subunit ribosomal RNA", at positions 28 to 1381 of the family's 1533-position model. The record is from RNAcentral.
GAUGAACGCUGGCGGCGUGCCUAAUACAUGCAAGUCGAGCGAACGGACGAGAAGCUUGCUUCUCUGAUGUUAGCGGCGGACGGGUGAGUAACACGUGGAUAACCUACCUAUAAGACUGGGAUAACUUCGGGAAACCGGAGCUAAUACCGGAUAAUAUUUUGAACCGCAUGGUUCAAAAGUGAAAGACGGUCUUGCUGUCACUUAUAGAUGGAUCCGCGCUGCAUUAGCUAGUUGGUAAGGUAACGGCUUACCAAGGCAACGAUGCAUAGCCGACCUGAGAGGGUGAUCGGCCACACUGGAACUGAGACACGGUCCAGACUCCUACGGGAGGCAGCAGUAGGGAAUCUUCCGCAAUGGGCGAAAGCCUGACGGAGCAACGCCGCGUGAGUGAUGAAGGUCUUCGGAUCGUAAAACUCUGUUAUUAGGGAAGAACAUAUGUGUAAGUAACUGUGCACAUCUUGACGGUACCUAAUCAGAGAGCCACGGCUAACUACGUGCCAGCAGCCGCGGUAAUACGUAGGUGGCAAGCGUUAUCCGGAAUUAUUGGGCGUAAAGCGCGCGUAGGCGGUUUUUUAAGUCUGAUGUGAAAGCCCACGGCUCAACCGUGGAGGGUCAUUGGAAACUGGAAAACUUGAGUGCAGAAGAGGAAAGUGGAAUUCCAUGUGUAGCGGUGAAAUGCGCAGAGAUAUGGAGGAACACCAGUGGCGAAGGCGACUUUCUGGUCUGUAACUGACGCUGAUGUGCGAAAGCGUGGGGAUCAAACAGGAUUAGAUACCCUGGUAGUCCACGCCGUAAACGAUGAGUGCUAAGUGUUAGGGGGUUUCCGCCCCUUAGUGCUGCAGCUAACGCAUUAAGCACUCCGCCUGGGGAGUACGACCGCAAGGUUGAAACUCAAAGGAAUUGACGGGGACCCGCACAAGCGGUGGAGCAUGUGGUUUAAUUCGAAGCAACGCGAAGAACCUUACCAAAUCUUGACAUCCUUUGACAACUCUAGAGAUAGAGCUUUCCCCUUCGGGGGACAAAGUGACAGGUGGUGCAUGGUUGUCGUCAGCUCGUGUCGUGAGAUGUUGGGUUAAGUCCCGCAACGAGCGCAACCCUUAAGCUUAGUUGCCAUCAUUAAGUUGGGCACUCUAAGUUGACUGCCGGUGACAAACCGGAGGAAGGUGGGGAUGACGUCAAAUCAUCAUGCCCCUUAUGAUUUGGGCUACACACGUGCUACAAUGGACAAUACAAAGGGCAGCGAAACCGCGAGGUCAAGCAAAUCCCAUAAAGUUGUUCUCAGUUCGGAUUGUAGUCUGCAACUCGACUACAUGAAGCUGGAAUCGCUAGUAAUCGUAGAUCAGCAUGCUACGGUGAAUACGUUCCCGGGUCU